ACUAUUUUCCCUCCGCCACUUCCCUCCCACUCUGAGCUGCCUUCCUCCCCACACUGCCCUUGAGUCAAGAGGUCAGGGCUACCACUUCUUUUUUCAGCAGUAACGCUUUUCCUUCUGUGUUUUAUCCUCUAGUUGUUACUUUCCUUCCUUCCAGUGGAGGGGCAGCAAGAGCCAUUUGGCUGAUACGAUGUUUUUCUGGGAAGGAAAGGAUAAGACUUAAAAAAACCAGGAUGCCUUCAGGCAAAAUGUGAUUUUUCAAUCAAAAUUCUUUUUCUUAAGGGAGGGGAUUUUUCUCACAAGGGAGAGAAUUUGCCCCAACAGAGCAGUUUUACCCACACUCCUCUGAGACACAGCGUCUGUGUGCUGUCAGUGUCAGGGAGGAUCAGGCACAGAACGACCCAUUGCCAUCAUAAAACAAUCCAGCUUCCCAGAGGGAGAGGAAGAGAAAGGGGUUGCGUGUGGCCUUGAAAACCAGAAGGAAAAGGAGAAGAGGAAGUGCCUGGUUGUUCCUGUCUUGGUGGGGAGCGUUGUGGGGUCCCUGGCGACUGUGUGACCAGCAAACACCCUUGCUGAGAACUGCAGACCAGGCCAUUUGCAAGAGCAGCUCCGUGCCUGCAGCAGCUGCGUCUUGUGGGGGGGUAAAUGCUAGAGAAGAGCUGGGCCUGUGGAGCUGUGUUAACUGGCAUUUCAAAGGUUUUAGGCAAAGACUUACCAGUGUGAAGUGUUGGAGAUUACAGGGACUGGCGCUUGCAGAAACAUGAAGAAUCCAAGCCAACUUGUAGAGAAUCCUUAAGUCCAUUCAGAGACCAAAGGGAGCACACUGUUGCUGGAAAAAGAGAGGAGGUUCAAUGACAAGGGGCUUCAUGGUGCUGUGAUUCUGUAUGAACAUAAAGGACUGUGGCAUGCAGUCAUGGUGAGAGAGGAGGAAGAGUCUGCCAGCCUGAUGGAAAAAUCCUACAAAUAGUAGGAAAACUUAAAGGAUAAAGGCCUUAGAUUGGAGCAUGAAGAUUCAAAUCUAAAAUACUUGAAUAUAAGCUAUAAAGAACAAGGUUGCAGAAAGAGGGAGCUUUCUGAACUUGGAGAAGGCUGGUAAACAGGAGUUUGACAGCCAAACUUUGGUGCCCCCCACAUCGAGGGAAUAGGGACUGUAUUGCAUGGAUGCAUUCCAGUUGGAGGAGGGCUUUGCUAUGCGGAGAUGCUCUCGGGUCAGGUGAAGACAGCAGGAUUCUUGCAAACCAGAUAGAGAGACAAGAAAUCACAGCAUUAAAAGAAGGAGGCAGCAAGGAUUCUCCCUCCUGCAACAAUUCUUCAUCCACAGGAGCUUCUGAGCCUGUCCCAAGAAAGGAUUCCUGAUGGGAUAUUUCCUGUUCACAUUACUGUCUUUCUCAUGAGAAUCCACUGUCAGACCCCAUGCCUCCUUGUGGUCUCUGACAGAUGGUGGCAUCCAACUGGACCCUGACUGAGCAAAGUAAGGAGGAGUCAGUGACAUGAGAUGAUUCUGGUGGUGCUGGAGUGUGAGGCACAAUCCCUUUGUGCACAGGGACAACAGCCAACACUCAUGUUACAACAACUGCAACAAGAAAAAAAAGUACUUAUGUGAUUGCUUGUGACCACUCCAAAUAAAAACAAUCAAGAAUGCAAA
Molecule: non-coding RNA, 1642 nt
Organism: Cyanistes caeruleus (blue tit)
Lineage: Eukaryota; Metazoa; Chordata; Aves; Passeriformes; Paridae
Source: RefSeq, a predicted model, not a curated record